UAAUAUGUAUUAUAAUAAAUAUAUUUAUUUUCCAAAUAAAAGAUCCUAUCUUUAGGUGUAUUUG
RNAcentral lists this transfer RNA (64 nucleotides) under Girardia tigrina. Its description in RNAcentral is "tRNA-Gly". Lineage: Eukaryota; Metazoa; Platyhelminthes; Tricladida; Dugesiidae. The record is from RNAcentral.